This 274-nucleotide long non-coding RNA is filed under the name Elaeis guineensis (African oil palm). Its description in RNAcentral is "long non-coding RNA (EGUI_LNC074051)". Lineage: Eukaryota; Viridiplantae; Streptophyta; Magnoliopsida; Arecales; Arecaceae. The record is from RNAcentral.
GUAUUAUAUAAUUAGUGAUUUUGGAUUCACAUAAAAUACCAAACAUGUUACUCAUGGAUAUUCGAGGAUCUUUAAUCACUAGAUCAUGGCCUACCAAAUGUCAUGAUCUUAGAUCAUUGGUGAUCAUAUCACCAUAGAAUUUAGAUCAUCGAUGAUCUUAGGUCACCACGGUGAUCUCAUUUGGAUCACCAAAUGCUAUUUAUAGAUAUUGAAAUAGGUACUAGAACCAUGAUUGGGCCAUAAUUUUUCGAUCCAAUUUAGAAUCAAGCCAGGU